RNAcentral lists this transfer RNA (87 nucleotides) under Bacillota bacterium. RNAcentral's name for it is "tRNA-Ser". It matches the Rfam family "tRNA". From Rfam's summary of the family: Transfer RNA (tRNA) molecules are approximately 80 nucleotides in length. Their secondary structure includes four short double-helical elements and three loops (D, anti-codon, and T loops). Further hydrogen bonds mediate the characteristic L-shaped molecular structure. tRNAs have two regions of fundamental functional importance: the anti-codon, which is responsible for specific mRNA codon recognition, and the 3' end, to which the tRNAs corresponding amino acid is attached (by aminoacyl-tRNA synthetases). tRNAs cope with the degeneracy of the genetic code in two manners: having more than one tRNA (with a specific anti-codon) for a particular amino acid; and 'wobble' base-pairing, i.e. permitting non-standard base-pairing at the 3rd anti-codon position. The record is from RNAcentral. Lineage: Bacteria; Bacillati; Bacillota.
GGAGAGGUGUCCGAGUGGUUUAAGGAGCUAGUCUUGAAAACUAGUGAUCCGAAAGGACCGUGGGUUCGAAUCCCACCUUCUCCGCCA